GUAACCUGCCCAUAAGACUGGGAUAACUCCGGGAAACCGGGGCUAAUACCGGAUAACAUUUUGAACCGCAUGGUUCGAAAUUGAAAGGUGGCUUCGGCUGCCACUUAUGGAUGGACCCGCGUCGCAUUAGCUAGUUGGUGAGGUAACGGCUCACCAAGGCAAUGAUGCGUAGCCGACCUGAGAGGGUGAUCGGCCACACUGGGACUGAGACACGGCCCAGACUCCUACGGGAGGCAGCAGUAGGGAAUCUU
Molecule: ribosomal RNA, 251 nt
Filed under: Bacillus anthracis (anthrax bacterium)
Lineage: Bacteria; Bacillati; Bacillota; Bacilli; Caryophanales; Bacillaceae
Description: partial 16S ribosomal RNA
Rfam family: Bacterial small subunit ribosomal RNA
Source: RNAcentral